RNAcentral lists this ribosomal RNA (354 nucleotides) under uncultured bacterium. RNAcentral's name for it is "partial 16S ribosomal RNA". It matches the Rfam family "Bacterial small subunit ribosomal RNA", at positions 338 to 690 of the family's 1533-position model. The record is from RNAcentral.
CCUACGUGGGGCUGCAGUGAGGAAUAUUGGUCAAUGGCCGGAAGGCUGAACCAGCCAAGCCGCGUGAGGGAGGAAGGCGCAGAGCGUCGCAGACCUCUUUUGCCGGGGGAAAAAAGGCCGGAAUCGUCCGGUCCUGAGGGUACCCGGAGAAAAAGCAUCGGCUAACUCCGUGCCAGCAGCCCCGGUAAUACGGAGGAUGCGAUCGUUAUCCGGAUUCAUUGGGUGUAAAGGGUGCGCAGGCGGGCCUUUAAACCGGCGGUGAAAUCGCGGGGCUCAACCCCGCCGAGCCGUCGGAACUGGGGGCCUUGUGUGCGGCGGUGGCAUGCGGAAUGCGGUGUGUAGGUGUGAAAUGCA